RNAcentral lists this transfer RNA (70 nucleotides) under Entamoeba histolytica. It matches the Rfam family "tRNA". Rfam says of the family: Transfer RNA (tRNA) molecules are approximately 80 nucleotides in length. Their secondary structure includes four short double-helical elements and three loops (D, anti-codon, and T loops). Further hydrogen bonds mediate the characteristic L-shaped molecular structure. tRNAs have two regions of fundamental functional importance: the anti-codon, which is responsible for specific mRNA codon recognition, and the 3' end, to which the tRNAs corresponding amino acid is attached (by aminoacyl-tRNA synthetases). tRNAs cope with the degeneracy of the genetic code in two manners: having more than one tRNA (with a specific anti-codon) for a particular amino acid; and 'wobble' base-pairing, i.e. permitting non-standard base-pairing at the 3rd anti-codon position. Lineage: Eukaryota; Evosea; Mastigamoebida; Endamoebidae. The record is from Rfam by way of RNAcentral.
GCACAAAGAGUUUAGUAGUAGAAAUCCAUCUUCCAAGGUGGAUAUCCAGGUUCGAUUCCUGGAUUGUGCA